GUGUAUUUGUUUAAGUUUAAUACAGGACAACAAUUACAGCCCAGAAGAAUUACAGCCCAGAAGGAUUACAAUCUAAAUGGACCGGCCCAGAAGAAGUUUUUUAAUUAAAUCGUGUAAUGGACCUAGAUGUAAUAAAACUAUAUUCGGGGUUGUAAUAGAAGUAGUAGUUUACAAUUUUAUUAUAAAUAAUAGUUGUAAACUCAAAUACAAUUAAUUCAAAUACUAUUUUUGAUAUUUUCGCAUUUUGAAAGAUCCGUUAAUUUCGUUAACGUUUUCUUUUCCCCAAAUUUCACUCCUGCCGGCGAUCGAUCCUCCCCUGUGAUUUUUUAUCACCGGAAUCGGAUCUCCGUCGUGUUAUAAAACAAGCAUAGAAAAAAUGUUCAGGCUCGGCUCGUUUAUUAAACAACUUAGGAAAAAAAUGCAUUGACUCGAAUUUGAAAUAAUGUAUUUUUAAGGUUUAUCUUUUUUUUUGUUAUUUUAAGGUUAUCUUUUUUUAGGGUUUAUAGAACGGGUCUACCGGACACCGUUUCCUUGACCGGAAUGGGUCUUUGGUUAAAGCUGAUCCUAUUCCAUUGUUAUCG
RNAcentral lists this long non-coding RNA (581 nucleotides) under Zostera marina. RNAcentral describes it as "long non-coding RNA (ZMAR_LNC006000)". Lineage: Eukaryota; Viridiplantae; Streptophyta; Magnoliopsida; Alismatales; Zosteraceae. The record is from RNAcentral.